UCGAACUCACGAACCUCGAGAUCACGACCUGAGCCAAAUCGGACGCUCUGUCAACUGAGCCACCCAGGCACCCCCGUGAAGACCUUUAAUUAAUGCCUUGGAAUUGCACAGUUGAAUAAGACAAUAAGCCCUCCAAGCCUUGCAUGCUCUGGUCCCCAGCUACCUUCCCUGCCUCACUUUGACCCCUCUCACCCUGAGCUCCUGCCACCCUGGCCCUUUGCCACCUCCACAGAUGCCCAAACUUCUUCCCUUCCUCCGGACCUCUGCACACCCCGUCCCUUUUACCUGGCUUGCUGCUCCCUUUCUCCUGACCUGCUAACACCAAGCGUCCUGCAGACCUCAGCUUAAAUAGCGCUUCCCUGCGAAGCCCUCCCUGACUACCGUCGCUCGGCUCGGAGCCUGGCUCUCCCAUCCGUGAGGGCAUUCAGCACAACCUGCCAUCGUGCAUUUAUGGGAGAGCUUGUUUUCGAUCCACCGGGGCAGGGACGGCUGAAGCCUCAGCGUCAAGAGCAGGGCCCGGCACACUGUAGGUGCUCAAUAAAUACGUGUUGACUGAGCAAUGAAUUCAAGAUGACUUUUUGGAAGGAAACAACAAGGAAGUGGACCUGACUUCACCGAGGGCACGCGUAAGACCCAGAUGGGUCCGCUCCCACCCCCACCAGCGUUCUGUUCCAGUCGUACGUGGUCCCGAGACCAACAGGUGGACUCCUUGGGUUUCUGGGGAGGAAUUUCACACUGCCCUGUCUCCUCUGCUGUGUUUCCGUUUCUGGCAUUUCCGGAGCACCUCCCACGAGCCAGGCGGUGUGCUCGGCUCUGGGGAUGCAGGCCUGAUUUCCUGAACCCUUCCCACUCUGCUCCCGGCCCCCGGCAGCUGCAGCCCAGCCCCUCCCUCCCAGCCCCUCUUCCGUUUCCUCACCCUGGGAUUCCUGGAUCCCGACAGAAUCUAAAAAGGCUCCCCUUUAAACAGACCAUUUGGACUGAGAAACCCUGAGCUGACGUAUCUGAUCUGACUCUUCCCAUUUCGCCCCACGAGAUAAGACGGAUUCACAUUCCUUUUGUACAGUCUCGGGCUUCUUCGUCUUUCCUCCCCACUCCCCGCAGGCCUUGGGGGUCUGAGCGCAGCUCCCCCUUCACGCUUGUCCAGGGCUGUAUUUUCAUCUCCUAGGUCUCUGCUCCACUGGUCUGUGGAACCCACAGCGUCGCCGGACGCACUCUGCUGGUAAGGACGGAAACUGGUACAGCCCCCAAGGAACGCCAUUUGGCAAUAUCUAUCCAAGUUAGAAAUGCGUAUACCUUCUGGCCCAGUAACGUCACUUCUGGGAAUUUGUCUUAAAGAUACACUUGCACACGUGCAAAAUGAUGUGCUGGGAAAGAUCUUGAGAAGAGAUGGCGAGGUGAAAACACACAUGCAAAGGUGACAACAGGCCUGUGUUAUGCUGCCUUUGGAUUACAAAGGAAGAAACUAAGAUUUCCUUGCACUUACAUACCUACCGGACCUGAGAAAGGACACCCAGAAUCAGAAACCAGAAAAGGAAGAAGGGGGGGGGAGAUGUCUCACUGAAUACAGUUUUACGUGUUUGUAUUUCUAAUGAUGUGAACGCACUGCACACUAAAAUUCAGGGAAGGUACUCUUAAAUCUGAGUUUAUCC
Molecule: long non-coding RNA, 1649 nt
Organism: Felis catus (domestic cat)
Lineage: Eukaryota; Metazoa; Chordata; Mammalia; Carnivora; Felidae
Exons: 2
Source: RefSeq, a predicted model, not a curated record